UGAACUAAAGUAGGUGAAGAAUUUAUUGAUCAAGGCUUGAAGAAGUUGGCAUGUAACCCUUUAGUAGCUAAAGUCCACACUGCAGCUAUUACCACUAUGACACUCAAAGCCAAGCCUAAGCAACCAAGCCCCAAAUUAAAACACCACAUGAAACCAUUUCUACGUGGUUUCUUGAUUGAUAUCCACAUGAAACUUGGGUAAGCAAAGGUGAGAGGUAGUGCCAUUCCUCCUAUUAAACUUGCAAGACUAGGCAAAAAUGGGAAAGCAACUGCUACCAAGAAUGCUAAACCUCCGAAUAAAAGACGCAAACCUGUUCGAAC
RNAcentral lists this unclassified non-coding RNA (320 nucleotides) under Hevea brasiliensis (rubber tree). The record is from RNAcentral. Lineage: Eukaryota; Viridiplantae; Streptophyta; Magnoliopsida; Malpighiales; Euphorbiaceae.